CCUCACAGCACUUGAACAAACCUUAAUGGAUAUUAGGCACCAGAACCACUACAGCUCUGGUGUGUCUAGCAUGUCCUUGCAGGUUUGUAACAUCUAGUAGCAGUCACUCCGCAAGAUAUUAGUGCUUCCUAUCUCCGUGCUAGACUGUGCACCACAACCUGCAUGGAGACACUUAACGCUCUCCACAGAAGUCAAGAGGAUGAGAAUGUACA
Non-coding RNA from Pelobates cultripes (western spadefoot toad), 212 nucleotides. Lineage: Eukaryota; Metazoa; Chordata; Amphibia; Anura; Pelobatidae. The record is from the annotation of a GenBank genome assembly.